Long non-coding RNA from Cimex lectularius (bed bug), 1416 nucleotides. RefSeq lists it as uncharacterized. The transcript is spliced from 3 exons. The record is from RefSeq and is a predicted model, not a curated record. NCBI's taxonomy places the organism in Eukaryota, Metazoa, Arthropoda, Insecta, Hemiptera, Cimicidae.
UUUUUAAAUGGCGAAAUCUCUAUUCAGAAGUAGUGGCGGAUACAAUGUGUCCGAUAUUUUGGAGUGAAGAAUCGCCAAAGUUUGGCCCAAAUCCUCGACUUAUCAACCUGGUCGUUGUCCUCUUGUUGAUACGGUCGAUUGGAUAUAAAACAAAUUCAAUUGUUAUCUGCGGAUCUUUCGACCUGUUUUAAGUUCGAAUGGCGUUAGAGACUUGACAGUGCGAAGACAAAAACAAAUUUGAAACCAUCCUUUAAAAAAGACUUAAUUAUGUAAAUUUGUAGACAUCUUUAAGAUUGUUUUGCCAUGAGAUGACCUGAAAAUAAGUCAAAAGCUCAGCAGGGAGAAGGGAAUUUGUUUUUCAUCCAACUGACCGACCGAAGAUCCAGAUUAUUUUCGAGGCAAAAGUAACAGUAAUGGAAGAGACAACACUUCACUUUAGCACAUUAUACGAAGCAGUAGUUGGCUCGUUUGAAGUUUUGGUGAGGCCUUUGGAUAUGAUCUGCCCGCUGCUUAAUUGUGCUGAUUUGGGCUGUAGCUGCACUGGUUCAGAAAAUUUACGAGAAGAUUGAUCGGGCAUCAAGCAGUUGUUCAGUAAACGACUUCACAAACUUCUUCUCUAGUCAUUGCUGUCAAUCUUGGAUAAUAGACUAAAUAUUAAGUUGACCAUGUGUAAAGACCGGUUUUCUUGAUGUGCCAUGCGUGGAUCGCAGCGUCUUCAAAGAAGUCAUGGUAUGGCAGAAUUAACGACUAAUUAACAUACAGCAUGAAUCUUUGAUUGUACUAAGGUUCAUUGAGGAAGUUAUUCUGGAUGCUGUGGUCCGAUUCGCUCCAUUUAUUUGGGACAAUUUCCUGUUAACGCUUGAUAAUGGUCCACCGCAUGUAACACACAUGAGUUAUCACCUAUUACUUGGAGGUUGUAGGGAUUCCAACGAUGAAUUGACCAGCACGUUAUCCUGGCAUGAAUCCCACAGAACAAUUAUGAGACGUGGUAGAGAGACUGGUUAGACACAUUUCGCCUCCAACAAGCGUUGAACACCUUCAAACCUCACUUGUUGAAGAAUGGGAUUAUUUUUAACAAGACGAAAUCAUCGAUCACUUAUUUCCUCGAUGCCUACUAGGACACUUAAGGCCCUCUGCGAGACCAAAGGAUGUAAUACGGGUUAUUAAGAGCAAAACCAGGAAAUAAAUUGACAAUUCGGUUUUAAUCUUUCCCCUGAGUUGUAGUACAUUUUCUAUCCAACCACAUUAUUAAAUAAUUUUCAUUAAAUUAAUUACAAAUUUCUGAUCUCGUUUAAUUUGUUUUCAUUAAAAUAAGAAGUGUUGCAUGGGGUUCUUAAAGAAAAUGCAUUUUGAAUAUUUUAUAUGUUACAACACCCUACUUAAAAUAAUUUUACAUAUCCACCUCUUGCAUGAUUC